Molecule: RNA transcript, 1981 nt
Organism: Oncorhynchus kisutch (coho salmon)
Lineage: Eukaryota; Metazoa; Chordata; Actinopteri; Salmoniformes; Salmonidae
Gene name: F-box only protein 3-like
Exons: 6
Source: RefSeq, a predicted model, not a curated record
GCUUCAGAUGGAUAAAUGCCUGUGCACAAAAUACCAUUAUGCUGUGUAAUAGAACUAUGCUUAGCCACAGUAGCUAGCUAUAGCUAUCGUUCUCAAUAUGUUGUUCAAAUCAAGUUUUAUUUGUUUACUAGCUAGCAUGCUAUCGCAUGACAUGUUGUAAUCUUUCCUGGUUGUUUGGUCAUGGGUCUUAUUUAAUUUGACAGUUUCAGGAAUAUUUAUUGCAUUAAAUUUAACUAUCAAUUAGCCGCUGGCUAAUUUAGUAUCGACAGGCUAACGCUGCGUUCACAACCAAGUACGAAGGUGGUAUUUAGUAGUUACAUAAAGAAACGUGUCUAUUAUUCAUGUUCUCCGACAUCUCCCACGUGCUGAUCUCUGACGUCACCUACUAAGAAAUAGCCUCGAUAACAGCAUUUUCUGCGGUAAAAUGUACAGUGUUUUUCCGCGAGUUCAAAGAGCUUGAAUGCCGCCUACGGGCAAAUACCACCUUCCCACUUGGAUAUGAACUCAGCAUAAUGGUCUGACAAAAUCCCAAAAUGUUCAAACCUGGAAGGAACUCUUCCUCUAGUUCUAUACUGACUUGGGUCACUACAUUGAUCACUAUGGCACCCUGAAUAAAGCCUGGGAUGACCUGAAGAGAUACCUUGACCCCAGGAUGAUCGCCUCUCUCAAAGAGGGAGCAAAGGAAGAGCUGGAUGGCAUUGAGGCGCAGUUUAAUGGGAAGCAUGGCCCUGUCUAACCACUAUCGCUCAGAGGACCUGCUGGAUAAUGAAACGGCAGCAGGUGGCUUUAAGCAGCGCAAGGGCAUGAGGCCGUGUUUGCCCCUCACCUUCUGCUUCCACACAGGCCUCAGCCAAUACAUGGCCCUGGAGGGCACCGCAGCGAGAUCUUCUACCACUGCCCGGUCAGUUUCCAUAUGACCCCAGCCCCCGCCCCCAUUACAACAGGGAGACAGACUUUUAUUCUCACACACAGGUUAUGGAUGAAAAUAAUAAGAAAGUCUGUAGCAUCGCUUAGUAAUGAUAAACAACUCCUUAAUUUGAGCUUUAUAUAACUUAUUUAAAAACAUUUAUUUCACCUUUAUUUAACCAGGUAGGCAAGUUGAGAACAAAUUCUCAUUUACAAUUGCGACCUGGCCAAGAUAAAGCAAAGCAGUUUGACGCAUACAACAACACAGAGUUACACAUGGAGUAAAACAAACAUAAUAAUACAGUAGAAAAAUUAGUCAAUAUACAAUGUGAGCAAAUGAGGUGAGAUAAGGGAGGUUAAAGGCAAAAAAGUCGAUGGUGGCGAAGUAAAUACAAUAUAGCAAGUAAAACACUGGAAUGGUAGAUAUGCAUUGGAAGAAUGUGCAAAGUAGAGAGAAAUAAUGGGGUGCAAAAUAAAUAAAUACAGUAGGGGUAGAGGUAGUUGUUUGGGCUAAAUUAUAGAUGGGCUAUGUACAGGUGCAGUAAUCUGUGAGCUGCUCUGACAGCUGGUGCUUAAAGCUAGUGAGGGAGAUAAGUGUUUCCAGUUUCAGAGAUUUUUGUAGUUUGUUCCAGUCAUUGGCAGCAGAGAACUGGAAGGAGAGGCGGCCAAAGGAAGAAUUGGUUUUGGAGGUGACCAGAGAGAUAUACCUGCUGGAGCGCGUGCUACAGGAUCAAAUGGCACAAGAUCCAUCUGCAAUUGACAUGUUCAUCACAGGGGGUGAUACCAGAACAGUAGGAAUCUUUUCAUCGACGGAGGGAGGACUCCAAGAAACGCCAAGAGCCGGGGACCUGCCUGAGCGCCUGCGAUAGGCUGAGCAAGUUUAAACCACGCCCAGCCUGUACUGUGAUAGGCCAACAGACGGGUUGGAACCAUGUCUAUCACAGUAUAAGAACACUGUUUACGUACAUCCUGUCAGUUCCCUGUUCUGCCCUGCGUGGUAUUACAGUGAGCCCGUAUAUACGAAAGUUGCAUUUGCCAUUUAUUACUUAGCUAAUAAAAAAUACAUAGUAUACAA